This 573-nucleotide ribosomal RNA is filed under the name Salmonella enterica subsp. enterica serovar Mbandaka. RNAcentral's name for it is "partial 23S ribosomal RNA". It matches the Rfam family "Bacterial large subunit ribosomal RNA", at positions 681 to 1251 of the family's 2925-position model. The record is from RNAcentral. Lineage: Bacteria; Pseudomonadati; Pseudomonadota; Gammaproteobacteria; Enterobacterales; Enterobacteriaceae.
GUCUUAACCGGGCGUUAAGUUGCAGGGUAUAGACCCGAAACCCGGUGAUCUAGCCAUGGGCAGGUUGAAGGUUGGGUAACACUAACUGGAGGACCGAACCGACUAAUGUUGAAAAAUUAGCGGAUGACCUGUGGCUGGGGGUGAAAGGCCAAUCAAACCGGGAGAUAGCUGGUUCUCCCCGAAAGCUAUUUAGGUAGCGCCUCGUGAAUUCAUCUCCGGGGGUAGAGCACUGUUUCGGCUAGGGGGCCAUCCCGGCUUACCAACCCGAUGCAAACUGCGAAUACCGGAGAAUGUUAUCACGGGAGACACACGGCGGGUGCUAACGUCCGUCGUGAAGAGGGAAACAACCCAGACCGCCAGCUAAGGUCCCAAAGUCAUGGUUAAGUGGGAAACGAUGUGGGAAGGCCCAGACAGCCAGGAUGUUGGCUUAGAAGCAGCCAUCAUUUAAAGAAAGCGUAAUAGCUCACUGGUCGAGUCGGCCUGCGCGGAAGAUGUAACGGGGCUAAACCAUGCACCGAAGCUGCGGCAGCGACGCUGAUGCGUUGUUGGGUAGGGGAGCGUUCUGUAAGCCUG